This 212-nucleotide long non-coding RNA is filed under the name Mytilus galloprovincialis (Mediterranean mussel). Lineage: Eukaryota; Metazoa; Mollusca; Bivalvia; Mytilida; Mytilidae. The record is from RNAcentral.
CUGAAAAAUUUGGACGUAACAUCUAUGAGCUAUUGUCCCUGAAGUGUGUAAAUUUACAAAUUUUCAUAGUUUUCUGCUAAUAUCUGACAGCUAUAUCAAUAUAAUAUAAAAAUAAAUUGCAAAAGUGGUCAGAAAAACUUAUUUUUACAGUCUGAACUUAUUCUGAAUUGUUUAACCUCUUAUUUUAAAUUUAUUGCUUUUGAAAUAUGUGU